Molecule: ribosomal RNA, 505 nt
Filed under: uncultured bacterium
Lineage: Bacteria
Description: bacterial SSU rRNA
Rfam family: Bacterial small subunit ribosomal RNA
Source: RNAcentral
GAUGAACGCUAGCGGCAGGCUUAACACAUGCAAGUCGAGGGGCAACACGGGUAGCAAUACCUGGUGGCGACCGGCGCAAGGGUGCGUAACGCGUGAGCAACAUGCCCUAUACAGGGGGAUAAUCCAGGGAAACUUGGUCUAAUAUCCCAUAGUAUUUAGAGGUGGCAUCACCACUAAAUUAAAGCUUCGGUGGUAUAGGAUUGGCUCGCGUGACAUUAGCUGGAUGGUGGGGUAACGGCUCACCAAGGCAACGAUCAUUAGGGGUUCUGAGAGGAAGGUCCCCCACACUGGUACUGAGACACGGACCAGACUCCUACGGGAGGCAGCAGUGAGGAAUAUUGGUCAAUGGGCGAGAGCCUGAACCAGCCAAGUCGCGUGAAGGAUGAAGGUUUUAUGAAUUGUAAACUUCUUUUGCAGGGGAAUAAAGUGCGGUACGUGUACCGUUUUGUAUGUACUCUGCGAAUAAGGAUCGGCUAACUCCGUGCCAGCAGCCGACGGUAAAACG